AGUGAACGCUGGCGGCAGGCCUAACGCAUGCAAGUCGAGCGGCAGCGGGCUGUAGCAAUACAGUGCCGGCGAGCGGCGGACGGGUGAGGAAUACAUCGGAAUCUACCUUGUCGUGGGGGGAUAACGUAGGGAAACUUACGCUAAUACCGCAUACGAACUACGGUUGAAAGCGGAGGACCGCAAGGCUUCGCGCGAUUGGAUGAGCCGAUGUCGGAUUAGCUAGUUGGCGGGGGUAAUGGCCCACCAAGGCGACGAUCCGUAGCUGGUCUGAGAGGAUGAUCAGCCACACUGGAACUGAGACACGGUCCAGACUCCUACGGGAGGCAGCAGUGGGGGAAUAUUGGACAAUGGGCGGCAAGCCUGAUCCAGCCAUGCCGCGUGUGUGAAGAAGG
Molecule: ribosomal RNA, 392 nt
Filed under: uncultured bacterium
Lineage: Bacteria
Description: bacterial SSU rRNA
Rfam family: Bacterial small subunit ribosomal RNA
Source: RNAcentral